UGCGUAGGCGGCGCGGUAAGUCGGGUGUGAAAUCUCGGAGCUUAACUCCGAAACUGCAUUCGAUACUGCCGUGCUUGAGGACUGGAGAGGAGACUGGAAUUUACGGUGUAGCGGUGAAAUGCGUAGAUAUCGUAAGGAAGACCAGUGGCGAAGGCGGGUCUCUGGACAGUUCCUGACGCUGAGGCACGAAGGCCAGGGAGGCAAAC
This 206-nucleotide ribosomal RNA is filed under the name uncultured bacterium. Its description in RNAcentral is "partial 16S ribosomal RNA". It matches the Rfam family "Bacterial small subunit ribosomal RNA", at positions 568 to 773 of the family's 1533-position model. The record is from RNAcentral.